GACGAACGCUGGCGGCAUGCCUAAUACAUGCAAGUCGAGCGAACAGAUGAAGUGCUUGCACUUCUGACGUUAGCGGCGAACGGGUGAGUAACACGUAAGGAAUCUACCUAUAAGCGGGGGAUAACAUUCGGAAACGGGUGCUAAUACCGCAUAAUAUCUUCUUCCGCAUGGAAGAAGAUUGAAAGACGGCUCUGCUGUCACUUAUAGAUGACCUUGCGGUGCAUUAGUUAGUUGGUGGGGUAAUGGCCUACCAAGACGAUGAUGCAUAGCCGACCUGAGAGGGUGAUCGGCCACAUUGGGACUGAGACACGGCCCAAACUCCUACGGGAGGCAGCAGUAGGGAAUCUUCCGCAAUGGGCGAAAGCCUGACGGAGCAAUGCCGCGUGAGUGAAGAAGGCCUUCGGGUCGUAAAACUCUAGUUAUAAGAGAAGAACAAA
RNAcentral lists this ribosomal RNA (437 nucleotides) under uncultured bacterium. RNAcentral's name for it is "bacterial SSU rRNA". It matches the Rfam family "Bacterial small subunit ribosomal RNA", at positions 28 to 453 of the family's 1533-position model. The record is from RNAcentral.